This 253-nucleotide ribosomal RNA is filed under the name uncultured bacterium. Its description in RNAcentral is "partial 16S ribosomal RNA". It matches the Rfam family "Bacterial small subunit ribosomal RNA", at positions 524 to 776 of the family's 1533-position model. The record is from RNAcentral.
UACGAAGGGGGCGAGCGUUGUUCGGAAUCACUGGGCGUAAAGGGCGCGUAGGCGGCCCCUUUUGUCGCGUGUGAAAGCCCCGGGCUCAACCUGGGAACGGCGCGCGAAACGGGGGGGCUUGAGUUCGGGAGAGGAGAGUGGAAUUCCCAGUGUAGAGGUGAAAUUCGUAGAUAUUGGGAAGAACACCCGUGGCGAAGGCGGCCCACUGGGCCGGUGCUGACGCUGAGGAGCGAAAGCGUGGGGAGCGAACAGG